Oncorhynchus keta (chum salmon) is the source of this 1293-nucleotide long non-coding RNA. RefSeq lists it as uncharacterized. The record is from RefSeq and is a predicted model, not a curated record. The transcript is spliced from 3 exons. NCBI's taxonomy places the organism in Eukaryota, Metazoa, Chordata, Actinopteri, Salmoniformes, Salmonidae.
CAGAAGGUAGUCUAGUGGUUAGAGCGUUGGACUAGUAACCAGCAGGUAGCCUAGUGGUUAGAGCGUUGGACUAGUAACCAGCAGGUAGCCUAGUGGUUAGAGCGUUGGACUAGUAACCAGCAGGUAGCCUAGUGGUUAGAGCGUUGGACUAGUAACCAGCAGGUAGCCUAGUGGUUAGAGCGUUGGACUAGUAACCAGCAGGUAGCCUAGUGGUUAGAGCGUUGGACUAGUAACCAGCAGGUAGCCUAGUGGUUAGAGCGUUGGACUAGUAACCAGCAGGUAGCCUAGUGGUUAGAGCUUUGGACUAGUAACCAGCAGGUAGCCUAGUGGUUAGAGCGUUGGACUAGUAACCAGCAGGUAGCCUAGUGGUUAGAGCGUUGGACUAGUAACCAGCAGGUAGCCUAGUGGUUAGAGUGUUGGACUAGUAACCAGCAGGUAGUCUAGUGGUUAGAGCGUUGGACUAGUAACCAGCAGGUAGCCUAGUGGUUAGAGCGUUGGACUAGUAACCAGCAGGUAGCCUAGUGGUUAGAGCGUUGGACUAGUAACCGGAAGGUAGCCUAGUGGUUAGAGCGUUGGACUAGUAACCAGCAGGUAGCCUAGUGGUUAGAGCGUUGGACUAGUAACCAGCAGGUAGCCUAGUGGUUAGAGCGUUGGACUAGUAACCAGCAGGUAGCCUAGUGGUUAGAGCGUUGGACUAGUAACCAGAAGGUAGCCUAGUGGUUAGAGCGUUGGACUAGUAACCAGCAGGUAGCCUAGUGGUUAGAGCGUUGGACUAGUAACCAGCAGGUAGCCUAGUGGUUAGAGCGUUGGACUAGUAACCGGAAGGUAGCCUAGUGGUUAGAGCGUUGGACUAGUAACCAGCAGGUAGCCUAGUGGUUAGAGCGUUGGACUAGUAACCAGCAGGUAGCCUAGUGGUUAGAGCGUUGGACUAGUAACCAGCAGGUAGCCUAGUGGUUAGAGCGUUGGACUAGUAACCAGCAGGUAGCCUAGUGGUUAGAGCGUUGGACUAGUAACCAGCAGGUAGCCUAGUGGUUAGAGCGUUGGACUAGUAACCAGCAGGUAGCCUAGUGGUUAGAGCGUUGGACUAGUAACCAGCAGGUAGCCUAGCGGUUAGAGCGUUGGACUAGUAACCAGCAGGUAGCCUAGUGGUUAGAGCGUUGGACUAGUAACCAGCAGGUAGCCUAGUGGUUAGAGCGUUGGACUAGUAACCAGCAGGUAGCCUAGUGGUUAGAGCGUUGGACUAGUAACCAGCAGGUAGCCUAGUGGUUAGAGCGUUGGACUAGUAACCAGCAG